AUGUUUACUUGGCAGGGACAAUGCCAGGAUCCUGAAGGUGGUUUUCCCAGAGUGAGGUGUAUCUGUUGCACUCUGUGCUGACCCUGUGAUACCCCCCAAUGUGAGAAAGUGAAGUGAAUAAUUUGUGAUAGAGGGGACUCUGUUUGUGCUCUUUU
This 155-nucleotide small nuclear RNA is filed under the name Octodon degus (degu). RNAcentral's name for it is "U1 spliceosomal RNA (ENSODEG00000021593.1)". It matches the Rfam family "U1 spliceosomal RNA". Rfam says of the family: U1 is a small nuclear RNA (snRNA) component of the spliceosome (involved in pre-mRNA splicing). Its 5' end forms complementary base pairs with the 5' splice junction, thus defining the 5' donor site of an intron. The record is from RNAcentral. Lineage: Eukaryota; Metazoa; Chordata; Mammalia; Rodentia; Octodontidae.